RNAcentral lists this long non-coding RNA (2835 nucleotides) under Durio zibethinus. RNAcentral describes it as "long non-coding RNA (DZIB_LNC002231)". Lineage: Eukaryota; Viridiplantae; Streptophyta; Magnoliopsida; Malvales; Malvaceae. The record is from RNAcentral.
AAGAAUAUAUAAUAUCUUACAAAUUUGUUUAUGAAUUCUAAUUAAUUGAAAACACAAAAAUACAUAUAUGUAACAAAUUUCAUAAAAACAUUUGAUAAUACAAGCAAGCCAAAUAAUCAAAUACUUCCAAUGCACAAUAAAAAUACCUACAAAAUAGAAUCAAAUGAGUUAGAAUAUAUACUAAAUUGUCAAAAUUAUAUGUAAACUAAAUAGUGGAUGUAAAAUUUUAUGCACGGGUAUAGUUAUAUAGAUAAAAGUAUAAUACAUAUGUAUGAGUUCAUGUGUUUACAUAUGUUAUUGUAUUCAAUUCCAACUAAUGCAUUUUUUUGUCACUUAAAUGCACGUGAUUUACAAACAGUUGAAUUGACAAUUCAAGAGAUGUCAGUCAUGAAUACUAUUUGAUUUCAUCAACAUGGUUUCGGUAAAUAUAAUAGUGUUGGGAUCUUAUGCAAGAAAGAAGAAAGUCAACUAGCCUCGGGAACUCCCGGUGUUAUAUUAUUUUCUAAUACAUUCAUGAUAAGAAUCUUUCAUGAAUAUGGCAUGAUACGCAUGCUAAAGUAGAUUGAGAUUUCAUUAAAAUUAAGUGAAGAAUUAAAGAGACACAAGUCUUCACAAGUUAAAGUUUAUGAAGGAACCAUACAGAGCAGACAAUUGAUGUUGUAACAGGAAAAAUUAAAAGGAAAAGAUAGUUAACAAAAUUAAAUACUUUGUUGCUUUUAGUUUAUAUAUAUAACAACAAUAAACUUUAUUACGAAUUUUAUUGUAAUAAUUAAAAGGCUUUCAUGAAAUAAACUCUUUAAAAACCAUCCUUAAAAAAUUGAAUUACACACCUGAAGCACAAUCUCAUUUGCAUUUAACCUUAUAGACUUUUUAGACUUGUAUUAUCCCUACCACAAUCCCCUUUUGAUGUUAGACUUGUACCAGGACAGCACUGCCACAAAAGCUCUUAAAACAUCUUAAAUUGAUAGUAAAAUUGAAAGAUCAAAUCCUACAUUGUACAUUUAUGCAAAGUUUACACCAAGAACUUGGCAUUUAGCCAUGAAUGGUCAUUCAAUCAUCAAAAGUGAUAAACAGUAUUCAUAAGCAUCAAUCUCAUCCACUAUCUUAAUGAACAAAUGAAACAAAUGAAACAAUGAACAAACCUUAUCAAAUUUGAUGAAUCUUGCUUUGAUAAGAGAAAUAUGGAAAUAUGCAACCUAGCAAUAGCAAUUAGUUUAGAGAACAAAACUAUUUUUGAAAGGAAUCCAAACAUGGCCUAAAAAAAUGUCAUGCUUAAUUUCUUUACUAAGCAAGUAAUACCUCCCUUAAAAUGAUGAAUUCUAGCAGCAAGUGGAAGUGCAAUCUCGUCUUCACAAAAAGUAAAGGUUUGGAUCAAAAUUAUGUAUUUUUCAUUAUCAGUCUUCUCUCAAAAUAAAAAUUUAGCUCUAUGUUUACCUUUGCCAUAUACAUCACAUUAUAAUUUGAGAUGACCUCAACAUAUGCUAGGAAGCAAUACUACAGGAAGCUGAUCAAACUUUACAUAGCCAGACAAUACUGACUACAAAUUCAAGCAAAUCUUGUUCAAUAAUAAUUUCUUUGAUUUCAAUCAUCAAGUUUUUCACAUUUAAAAAAAAAAAAAAAGACUCAAGAUAACCAAAAAGAAUGAACAAACACUAGGAAAUAAGCAUCUGAAUGCUAUGCUAAAAUUAAAGUUUAAAUGUUACUCUACAAAAUCAGAGAAAAAGAAAAAGGCACAUUGCAAAAGAUAAUUAAGGUAGAUUUUUUCUUGAGGAUAUUUAAAUGAUCAAAUAACGAAUGAGAAAUAGAGCUAUAAACCUAUUAGGCCAACAACAAAGCAGUCAAAGAAAGGAAAACUGAAUCUCCCAUGCUUCCUAUGUUUGCACAAGUAAACAGUGGUUUCCCAAAACAAAUUGUCAACUUUGCUAACCAAUCAUAAGAUGAAUAUAUAACCACAGUAGGCAGAUGCAAAACUUACCUCCGAGGCAAGGGCUUGUAUCGACAAUUGAAUAUGUUAUACAGGGAAAUGACAUAUCUGAUUAUAUUCCCAAGUUCAAUAGAGAAGGAAACAAGGAAAAGCCAAAGACAUGUGCGUUCUAAUGUGAGCCUGUGUGAAAUUAUUGCUUUCAACUCUAAAAGAUCGCUGAAAACAGGCUAUUGUGGCAAUCUCUUUCAUUCACAACCAACAAAUAUUGGCCACUACAUUAUUUCUAUACUAAUGAUGACACAAACGCCAUAAUUCCCCUUGUAAGAACAACAACAAAUUAUUUUGCACCAUUUUGACUUUUGGUUCUUUAGAAGCUGAAUAUGAAUUUAAGUUCACUUGUUUACCUUAUAAAAAUUUCGCCAUCAAUCUUUGUCAAGAAUCAAAUUAACAACUACCACUUCCAAAUUUUGAUAUUUUUAAGGGGAACGGAUAUCAUGGAACUAAUUGGAACCAUAGUAGAUUAAUUAAUAUUAAUUCAACUUUACAACGAUAAACAUUUAAUCGACCUUAAAAAUUGAUCUUGUUACCUUUCGGACUGUACCAGCGAUUCGAUCAAAAUAAGGAGACCCAUGCCAAAACGGAGGCAAAGAGAGGAGGCGAAGGAAUGAAGGCGGCCCGAGGUGUUUCCCCAAAAAAGAAACCCAUGUCGGGGCACGAUGUUUUUGCCCACAGGGAGACCCAUGCCAGAACAAAGGCAAAGAGAGGAGGCGACGGAGGGUGAAACAAUGCGGUUUCUGAUCCUUGGGGUCGGCCCCGCCGAAUUCCUACUCGACCCGAUCGAUCCCUAGAGUCCUUUUUUUUUUUUUUUAAAUCGAAUUUCGAGUAUCGGAUAAAUUCGAAUUUUAAGCAAA